Molecule: ribosomal RNA, 479 nt
Filed under: Haemophilus influenzae PittHH
Lineage: Bacteria; Pseudomonadati; Pseudomonadota; Gammaproteobacteria; Pasteurellales; Pasteurellaceae
Description: bacterial SSU rRNA
Rfam family: Bacterial small subunit ribosomal RNA
Source: RNAcentral
ACUUGAAUUGAAGAGUUUGAUCAUGGCUCAGAUUGAACGCUGGCGGCAGGCUUAACACAUGCAAGUCGAACGGUAGCAGGAGAAAGCUUGCUUUCUUGCUGACGAGUGGCGGACGGGUGAGUAAUGCUUGGGAAUCUGGCUUAUGGAGGGGGAUAACGACGGGAAACUGUCGCUAAUACCGCGUAUUAUCGGAAGAUGAAAGUGCGGGACUGAGAGGCCGCAUGCCAUAGGAUGAGCCCAAGUGGGAUUAGGUAGUUGGUGGGGUAAAGGCCUACCAAGCCUGCGAUCUCUAGCUGGUCUGAGAGGAUGACCAGCCACACUGGAACUGAGACACGGUCCAGACUCCUACGGGAGGCAGCAGUGGGGAAUAUUGCGCAAUGGGGGGAACCCUGACGCAGCCAUGCCGCGUGAAUGAAGAAGGCCUUAGGGUUGUAAAGUUCUUUCGGUAUUGAGGAAGGUUGAUGUGUUAAUAGCACAUU